RNAcentral lists this ribosomal RNA (447 nucleotides) under uncultured bacterium. Its description in RNAcentral is "bacterial SSU rRNA". It matches the Rfam family "Bacterial small subunit ribosomal RNA", at positions 330 to 792 of the family's 1533-position model. The record is from RNAcentral.
CCCAGACUCCUACGGGAGGCAGCAGUGGGGAAUAUUGGGCAAUGGGCGAAAGCCUGACCCAGCAACGCCGCGUGAAGGAAGAAGGCUUUCGGGUUGUAAACUUCUUUUGACAGGGAAGAGCAGAAGACGGUACCUGUCGAAUAAGCCACGGCUAACUACGUGCCAGCAGCCGCGGUAAUACGUAGGUGGCAAGCGUUGUCCGGAUUUACUGGGUGUAAAGGGCGUGCAGCCGGGCUGACAAGUCAGAUGUGAAAUCCCGCGGCUCAACCGCGGAACUGCAUUUGAAACUGUCAGUCUUGAGUACCGGAGAGGUCAUCGGAAUUCCUUGUGUAGCGGUGAAAUGCGUAGAUAUAAGGAAGAACACCAGUGGCGAAGGCGGAUGACUGGACGGCAACUGACGGUGAGGCGCGAAAGCGUGGGGAGCAAACAGGAUUAGAUACCCGUGUA